RNAcentral lists this ribosomal RNA (400 nucleotides) under uncultured eukaryote. RNAcentral describes it as "SSU rRNA". It matches the Rfam family "Eukaryotic small subunit ribosomal RNA", at positions 567 to 972 of the family's 1831-position model. The record is from RNAcentral.
CCAGCAGCUGCGGUAAUUCCAGCUCCAAUAGCGUAUAUUAAAGUUGUUGCAGUUAAAAAGCUCGUAGUUGGAUUUGUGGUUCGUCCUGCCGGCUGGGCCUUUUGGCCUUUGCUGUGCCGGUCGUCCAUCCUUGGGUGGAAUCCGUGUGGCAUUAGGUUGUCGUGCGGGGGAUGCCCAUCGUUUACUGUGAAAAAAUUAGAGUGUUCAAAGCAGGCUUAUGCCGUUGAAUAUAUUAGCAUGGAAUAAUGAUAUAGGACCUCGGUACUAUUUUGUUGGUUUGCGUAUCGAUGUAAUGAUUAAUAGGGACAGUUGGGGGUAUUCGUAUUCCAUUGUAAGAGGUGAAAUUCUUGGAUUUUUGGAAGACGAACUACUGCGAAAGCAUUUACCAAGGAUGUUUUCA